This is a microRNA precursor of Cebus imitator (Panamanian white-faced capuchin), 84 nucleotides long. Lineage: Eukaryota; Metazoa; Chordata; Mammalia; Primates; Cebidae. The record is from Ensembl.
AUAUUAGGUUGGUGCAAAAGUAAUUGUGUUUUUUGCCAUACUUUUAAUGGCAAAAAUUGCAACUACUUUUGCACCAGCCUAAUA